CCUUCAAAUACGCAAGCUACGUGCAGAAGCUGGGAACCGUCCUCUUAGAGCUGCUCUCUGAGUCACUUGGACUGAACCCUGAUCACCUCAUAAAAAUGGAGUGUGCUGAUGGACUCCGUUUUUUCAUGCACUAUUACCCUGCCUGUCCUGAACCUCACCUCACACUCGGCACGAGUAAACAUUCCGAUUCCGGUUUCAUUACCAUUCUUCUGCAAGAUAGUCUCGGCGGUUUACAAGUCCUCCGUCAGAAUCAGUGGCUCGAUGUCCCUCCGGUGCCAGGAUCGUUCAUCGUUAACAUGGGCGACCUUUUACAGGUGAAUAAAUGCAUGUGCACGCGCGUCUAUAUAUUUUUACGGGUCUCGAUCUUUUAUUUAGGGAAUUUGUUGGUUAACUUGGCUCAGAAUAAUGAUUCGUCGAGAGUGAAAGAUAAAGGCGCAUUAGUAUAUUUACAUUCAGUACUCCCCGUCGCAUUUUAGCUGCAGAACUUUCAAUACGGAGAAGCUUGAGGGUGGCUAGAAGUUUUAGCUCUUUUGCACCUGAAUUUUGAAUAUAAUGGAUAAAGUAAUUAUGUGCAUGUUAUAUUCAAAUUCCAGUUGUAGGAUUACUGUUGUUCAAAUCUUGCCCUUUACCAAAAUUGAGUUGAUGUGAUGUAGCUACAAUGAUUAGAUCAUUUAUUAGUAGGUGAAACAUAUAUAGUUCUUAUUUGGUUUCCUCACUAGUAUAAAUCUUCUUUGAACCUGCAGUUGGUCUCCAAUGACAAGCUCAAGAGUGUUGAGCACAGGGUGGUUGCAAAGAGCUCUGGCCCCAGAAUUUCUGUGGCAGGCUCCUUCAGCACAAGUCACGCUACAUCCUCAAGGCUUUAUGGCCCUAUCAAGGAGUUAACUUCGCAUAAUAAUCCUCCGCGUUAUAAGGAAGUAACUUUGAAGGACUUCAUCGCGCACUACAAUCACAAAGGCCUGAAUGGGAAGCCGGCGUUAGACCACUUCAAAUUGUGAUUCGGAGUCGAAAGUCCAGUUACAAGGUAACGUGGUCAUAUAUACUUCAUGAAAAAUGCGAAUUCCGUGCAUGACACCCGAUUAGUGACAUUAACAUAAUAAUCUUUUUAUCGCUCGUUCGGUUUAAAUGAAAUUGUGAAACAAAUGGUGGAGAAAUGUAUGGAUAAGCUUCUUUUAACGAAAAGGGAUCAAUAUAUAAGCAAUAACUACUCGAUAUACAUAUACAGUAAGAUGUACUCUUUUUUUUUCUCUUCGUUUUUGGGGGAGAAUUCGCAAGGCUAACAUGUAUUCUUUUUUUCUUCAAUGCAGUGGAAAAGAGUGCUGAGCACAAGGUCUUAUUGGAGAUUAUUACAAUUAAAGGGAUUAUUAUAUGCAUACUGUAAUAAAAUUGGCAUCUAUGUUACACAUUGUUUACUGUAAUAAAGGGAUUAUAUACUUGUUGUACACAAGUAUAUGCGACUAAUUGUUAUGUAAUAAUUUGUUGGACCAUAUCAAUAUCUAUAUAUAUACUUAUACAUUAUUUCUUCUAAAGUUGCCACAUGAUAAUUAUUUCUUCAUUGUUGAUUGUGGACUCUGUCCCGAACCAGCUCAAGUCCUUCAUCUUUCUCUUCCUUCGGUUAUUAUCUUCGUUCAUCAGUAAGAUGAAUUUUAUUUCUUAUUAUUGUUUUUUCAUCGUUGUUUUCUUCUUCUUUUUUUUUCGAUGUUUUUCUUUUUUUUUAAUUAUUUAUCUGCCGCAUCGGCUGGUUACUACACUAGUGUUGUAUAAUAUGUUAAGCUUUAGGUAAAAACCUAAUGAAGAUAUCUAAACUAUGUAUUAUUUUGAUCAACUAUUCAAACCUUUAGCUUUUUAUUUGCUGUCGAAUUUUUUUUAUUUGUAUUUGAUUUUAGAAUUUAAGUUAAUUAUUUAUUUUUAAAAAUUUUGUAUAUUUAAAGUCAUAAAGUUUUUAUCUAAGGCGCACACCACUAGGACACGUGUCAACGUAACAGGCACAGAAACGCCGCUCCGCCUCCGCCGCACGAUAGGCACUACACAAUUCCUAUCAAGUGCGUAUACAUGCGUAUUGAUCUCGUUCCACGCGUCCGCAUAAACAUAAAGCAUGGCCGCAUACUCGGACUCCGAGCGCCUCGCCGAGCUCCGCGCCUUCGACGCGACCAAAGCCGGCGUCAAGGGGCUCGCCGACGCCGGCUUCACCUCCGUCCCCCGCUUCUUCGUCCACCCCGACCCCGACCUCGAGCGAACCCCCCGCGCGAAUCUCCAAGUCCCCGUCGUCGACCUCGGCGGCGUCGCCGCCGACCCCGCACGGCGCGCAGCGGCGGCGGCGGCGGCGGGGGGCGCGGCGGAGGCGCUGGGGCUGUUCCACGUGGUGAACCACGGGGUGCCCCAGCAGGUGCUCGACGAAAUGCUCGAGAGAGUGAGGGGGUUCCACGAGGAGGGGGUGGAGGUGAAGGGGGAGUACUACACCCGGGACCUGAGCAGGAAGGUGGUGUACAAUUGCAACUUCGACUUGUUCCAGACGCAGGCGGCGAAUUGGCGGGACACGCUCUCCUUCUCGAUGGCGCCGGAGCCGCCGCGGCCCGAGGAGUUGCCCCUCGCCUGCAGGUAAUUAACGCAGUUCGUGCCUCGCCCGAAAGAUCGAACUAAAAGAAAACAAGUCAGAAAUAGUGACGUACUUUAAAGCUUUUUGAAAACAUAUAAAUUAUUAUUUUACAUAUAAUAUCAAAGCAGGAGAGUAGGUUAUUUAGUUAAACCAUCUCACGAAAAAGUUGCGAGCUUAGACAUGAGCUGGAGUGUUCUCUAGCAAGAUAAAAUUUUAAACACAAAUGCUAUUGAAAUCUAAUUAAUUAAAAAAUAGUUCUGAAAUAGACUUAAUAGUUUGAAAGUGGGUAAUUUGCAAAGUUUCAUUUUUGGCUCUUGAAAAGUUGGACACAUGACAAGUUGAACCUUUGAAAGUGUUUUUAAUUUAAUCUUUUAUCUUUAUUUACUAUUAAAGAUUUUUUUUUUUUUUGAGAGAGAGAGAGAGAAAGAUAGCAAGCUACAUGAUUAAUUUGUUUUUUAGAAACAUAAAAUAAUUAGGUUUCAAAUUUAGAACUUUAGGUACUAAUUACCGAGCCCUUUAGCCAACUUUAUUAGAUACUAUUAAUUGUGUACAUCUGAUGCAUUCGUGCACCAAUAAAGCCAUGAUCCUAUUACUCAUUGAGUUGUAAUCUUUUCUUGGAUGGUUGAAUUGCAUGUAUAAGAUGGAAAUUGAUGGUGGGGUAAAAGAAUAAUUGGUGUAUGGAUGCACCAGAACUCAAGAAGCAGCUAGUAUAUUUUCCUAUGAGCAUUUCCAUAGUUAGGAAUAAGGAAUAUUGUCCUGUCCAACUUAAAAGUUCAAGGUUAGGACCACAGUAAAAUGUAGAAAAAGAAUUCAGAGACUAUUAAGUAAAAUUUAAAUGAAAGUUCAGAGACUAUGGGUGCGAUUUAAUCUUGUAAGAAGUAAGACUUGGCUGGAAAAUGUUCUUCUUCCUUUUUCUUCUUUUUUUUUUUUUUUUUUUUUUUUGAGAAUAGUAGUAGUAAGUUAUCUGUUUCAUUAAAUUUUUUUAGAAAUAAAUUAAACUAGAAAUGUGAAGCCACUGGGGUUCAAACUUAGGACUUACGGUACCAACCAUUAGGUCAUUAGCUAACUAUGUUAGAUAAGGUCGGUUUGGCAAAAAAAUAUAUAUUUAAAUGCAGGAGAUUCUUUUACGCCACAAAUAGAUCCUAGCCUCUAGUUUCAGCUCAUUCAGUGGCUCUGAACCCAGCCAUAUAUGUAGUGUGACCAUAUCCUAAGGAGGUGAUUGAAAAUUGACCGUCGCUAACGCAAAUUGUAAAAUACUUGAUGGUUGAUAAUUUGGUAUUUGAGGAUCUAAGUUCGAAAAGUAGUUAUUUUAAAAGUUCAAUUAACCGACCGUCUCCAGAGCAAGUGUCGAAGGGCUUGGUAGUUGGUACCCGAGAUCCAAGUUCGAAUCCUAGUUGAUUUACAUUUCCAGUUAAGUUUAUUUUUAAAUGAAAUAAAUGAAGCGGGUAGCGUGCUACCUGUCUUUCAAAAAAAAAAAAAGUUCACCUAAGUUUAUUUCUCCAAAAUAAACAAAGUGAUAUCAUGCUACCAUUCUUUCUCCCUUUUUCCUUUUUAGAAAAGAACGUGACCCAACAAUAUACAAAAUGCACAACAAUCACCUACUUCUCACCUGUUGUACAAAAGUAUUUGCUUAAAAAGGGUAAAGAUGUUUGAAGGCUCCCUCACUUAUGGGAGAUUCUGAGGUGGGCUCUCAACUUUAAUAUAUAGUAUUGACACCUCUUCUACUUUUGAUCUUUUGCCACUUAAGUGAGUUCAUCAAUUAGAUUAGGAAUUUUAUCAAAUUCAUAAGUGAUUUCAUGAAAUUUAAUGGUUUUGAUCACUGCUUUAGCAAAGCUAAUAGCUAACUGAGAAUUUUUAACUCAAAGUCAAAGAAAUUAUUUUUACCAAAAUAUUUUGAUUACAUGAUCAGUUUUGUCGCAUGUAAUUAUGUUAACAUGUUGAGAUCUAUGCAGGGACAUAGCCUUCAAAUACGCAAGCUACGUGCAGAAGCUGGGAACCGUCCUCUUAGAGCUGCUCUCUGAGUCACUUGGACUGAACCCUGAUCACCUCAUAAAAAUGGAGUGUGCUGAUGGACUCCGUUUUUUCAUGCACUAUUACCCUGCCUGUCCUGAACCUCACCUCACACUCGGCACGAGUAAACAUUCCGAUUCCGGUUUCAUUACCAUUCUUCUGCAAGAUAGUCUCGGCGGUUUACAAGUCCUCCGUCAGAAUCAGUGGCUCGACGUCCCUCCGGUGCCAGGAUCGUUCAUCGUUAACAUUGGUGACCUUUUACAGGUGAAUAAAUGUGCACGCGCGUCUAUAUAUUUUUACGGGCCUCAAUCUUUUAUUUAGAGAAUUUGUUGGUUUACUUGGCGCACAAUAACGAUUCGUUGAGAGUGAAAGAUAAAGGUGCAUUAGUAUAUUUACAUUCAGUACUCCCCCUCGUAUUUUAGCCGCAGAACUUUCCAUGCCGAGAAGCUUGAGGGUGGCUAGAAGUUUUAGCUCUUUUGCAUCUGAAUUUUGAAUAUAAUGGAUAAAGUUUUUUUCUUUUUCCCCUCAAAUUCAGAACCUGUUAUUUUGAUCGACCAUAGACCUAAAGCUACUCCAUAAUAAAUAAGUAAUUCUGUACAUGUUUAUAUUCAAAUUCCAGUCGUAGGAUUACAGUUGUUCAAAUCUUGCCCUUACCAAAAUUGAGUUGAUGUGAUGUAGCUACAAUUAUUAGAUCAUUUAUUAGUAGAUGAAACGUAUCUUUGAUUUAUCCUUUAUUAUUUGAAUUUCUUUUCAUAUUGCAAUCAGUGUAUAUAUAUAUAUUCUUAUUUUGGUUUCCUCACUAGUAUGAAUCUUCUUUAAACCUGCAGUUGAUCUCCAAUGACAAGUUCAAAAGUGUUGAGCACAGGGUGCUUGCAAAUAGCUCUGGCCCCAGAAUUUCUGUGGCAUGCUCCUUCAGCACAAAUCGCGCCACAUCUACAAGGCUCUACGGCCCUCUCAACGAGUUAACUUCGCAUAAUAAUCCACCGCGUUAUAAGGAAGUAACUAUGACGGACUUCCUCGCACACUUCAAUCGCAAAGGCCUGGAUGGGCGGUCGGCGUUAGACCACUACAAAUUGUGAUUUAGGGUCAAAAGUCGAAUUACAAGGUAACGUGGUCAUACUUCACGAAAAAUGCGAAUUAAUUCCGUGACACCCGAUUAGUGACAUUAACAUAACAAUCUUUUUGUCGCUCGUUCGGUUUAAACGAAAUUGUGAAACAAAUGGCGGAGAAAUGAAUGGAUAAGCUUCUUUUAAUGAGAAGGGAUAUAUCAAUAAGCAAUAACUCCAUUUACAGUAAGAUGUACUCUUUUUUUUCUUUUCUUUUUUUGGGGGGAGAAUUUGCAAUUUGCAAGGGUAACAUGUAUUUUCUUUUCUUCAAUGCACAGUUGAAAAGAGUGCUGAGAACAAGGUCUUGAAAGAUACAACUCUCUCUCUCUCUUAUAUAGAACACUCUAGAAUGCUCUAGAAACAAGUGUUCUUUCUACUUGCUAAUAGAACACUCUAGAGUGCUCUAGAAACAAGUGUUCUUUCUACUUGCUAAUAGAACACUCUAGAGUACUUUAGAAAUAAGUACUCUUUCUCUUUAUAGAACAUUCUAGAAAUAAGUACUCUCUGCUUGCUAAUAGAGCACUUUAAAAAGUUCUAGAAAUAAGUGCUCUAGAAUAUUCUAGAGUACUCAUGUAAGUAAAUUGGAGGCCUAUAAAUAGGUGUGAGGCAUCCACACCAAGUGUAUGUGUGAGAGUGUAGAGUGAGAUGAAAUAGUGAAGUAAGGUGCGAGGGGUGUGUGAGAGGAAGUAGUGUGAGUUAGUGUGUGAGCCUUGUAGUCCUUUGAGCGUAUGUAUUAGUGAGUGUGUGUGUUAGAAUAAUUUGUGUGUGAGUUACUUUGUAUGUAAUAAAGAAAGUUUUAUUAUUAAUUUGGUACGUCAAUACUCAGGGUAACGUUUGGUUCGGUUUUAUUAUUAGUUGGUACGUCAAUACUCAGGGUAGCGUUUGGUUCGAGUAUAAGCAAAAACUAGCUAUUACAGGGAUAUGUACAAGUAUGGGGAUAAGAAAAAUAGCGUUUUGAUGAAAAUUGGGUUGUUCCCGGGCCGGGGAUAAGAAAAAUAGCGUUUGGGUAGAUAAUAUAAAAUAAGAAAAAUAGUUGGUAGUUUUAUAUAAAAAAUGAAGGUGUUGGUGGGAAUAGUUAUAUUGGAUUAUUAUAGAUAACCGAUAACUACUAUUCUCGGGCAAAAAAUUAGCGUUUGGGUAUAAAGGGGAUAAAGGGUUAUCCCUAUCCCUAUUCCCUAUCCAAAUGGUGCCGUAACAGGUCUUAUUGGAGAUUUUAAUUAAGGGAUUAUAUGCAUACUGUUAACAAAAUUGGCAUCUAUAUUAUACACUAUGUAUUGAAAAAUUUGGUCACUUGUUGUACAAAAGUAUAUGCUACGGUUGUUAUGUGAUUACUUGUUGUACCAUAUGUUGUAUAAUAUGUUUAGUUUUACGUAAAAACGUAAUGUAUUUAUCUGAACUAUUCAAACUUUUAAAUUUUUGAUUUGUUGUCCAAUUUGUUAAUUUGUAUUUGAUUUUAGAAUUUAAGUUAAUUAUUUAUUUUUAAAAAAUUUGCAUAUCUAUUUCAUCUUCUUCUCUACAUUAAAGCAGGGUUUGGGGGACCAAAGGGUGACAUGUGUCUUCCCAAACCCCCUUUUACUCCCUCUCCCUCUCUCUCUCUCUCUCUCUCUAUAUAUAUAUAUAUAUAUAUUUCUUCUUCUCUCUACAUUAAAGGAGGGUUCAGGGGGACCAAAUGGUGACACGUGUCUCCCCAAAUCCCUCUUUACUCUCUCUCCCUGUGUGUGAGUAUAUAUAUAUAUAUAUAGUAUAGAGAGAGAGAGAGAAGAGAGAGAGAGAGAGAGAGAGCGAGAGAGAGAGAGAGAGAGAGAGAGAGAGGGAGUAGAAGCCAGUUGCGGAGUAGAAUAACUAUCGAUAGCAAGACGGGCUCUGUUGCCAUCUAUUGUUUCGAUGAUGGAGCUCUCCAAUCGAUGAUCAGGCCCCUGUUGACAUGAUCUAUACACUCAAAGUGUUUAGAAAUCAAAUUCAAAUCUUUCGAACAUUAUUUGUUUAAUGACAAAGCGGUAUUCAAAAUUUUAUAUUUUAAUGAUCGAUAUGAGGCGAUUUUCUCGUUAACGGCGUAAAGAUAUUUAAAUCAAUUGAAUUUUUGUUAGAAAAUUUUUUAAAGACUAUUUUAAACAAGAGUCUAUACUCUUGACUUGAUUUACAAAAUCCUAUCAUCAUUUUUAAGAAUAUUAUUUUUAGCCGUUCAUUUUUGUGUCCACUCGAUGGCAUAAGAGAACAAUAUUGAAAAUGUAUGAAUUUUGAUUUUAAACAUUUUAAGUGAUAUAGAUCAUAUCAACUAUGGGCGAUCGUACGAUUUGUGAGGCUUCCAUCCACGAAAACAAAUGUGGUGGCAAUGGAACCCAAGUUGCUAAUUGAUGUUAUUCUAGCUCAAACUCUAUAUAUAUAUUUAUAGAUCAUAUAUAUUAUGACGAAAUUUUAUAGAUCAUAUUUAUUUUCGAUGGUAAGAGAUCACAUUUAAGUUGAUUAUACAGAUUCAUUUAUAUUUUAGCCGUUCAUUUUUGGUCCACUCGAUGGAUGAAGAGACAUAUUGAAAUGUAUGAAUUUAUUUACUAAAAUUUUAAGUGAUAUAGAUCAUAAUUUCAGACGAUGCGCGGAUUGGGGCUCCAUCACGAAAACAAAUGGGUGCAAUGGAACCGUUUGCUAUUGUAGUAUUCUAGCCUCAACUCUAAUAUAUAUAUAUAUAUAGAUCAUCAUAUAUUAUCAUAUGAGUCAUUUUAUAUAGAUCAUAUCUAUUUUCGAUGGAUAAGAGAUCACAUUUUAAGUGUAUAUAGAUCAUAUUAUAUUUUAGCCGUCUCAUUUUGUGUCACCUCGAUCGGAUAAAAAAAAGAAACAAUAUUUGAAAAAUGUAUGAAAUGAUUUCUAACCAUUUUAAAGUGAUAUAGAUCAUUCACGAUGCCGAGGCGAUUUGGAGCAAGCUCCAUCCAUCGAUAAACAAAAUGGGGCAAUGGAAACGUUUCACUAUGAUGAUAGUUUUCUAGCAUCAACUGCUAUAGUAUAUAUAUAUAGAUUCAUAUAUAUAUUAUAGAUCAUAUUUUAUAAGAUCAUCAUUAUUUCUCGAUGGAAUAACGAGGUAUCUAAAUUUAGAUGAAUAGAUGCAUAUUAUUAUUUUAGCCCGUUCAUUUUGUCGUCCACUCGAAUGGAUAAGAGAACAAUAUGAAAAUGUAUGAAAUUUGUCUUUCUAACAUUUUAAGUGAUAUAAGAUCAAUAUAUCAAAGAUGCCGAUCGUCCGAAUUUUGGAGGCUCCAGUCAUCGAAAACAAAUGGUUGGAAUGGAACCCGUUGCUAUUGUAGUAUUCUAGCUCAAUCUAUAUAUAGUAUAUAUAUAUAUAAUUCUAUAUCAAAAUUUAAAAUUUUGAUACUUUCAAAUUUUAAAAUUUAAAUUAUUUAUUUUCAAAUUUUAAACUUCAAAUUUUAAAUCUCUAAACUCUAUGAAAUUAAUUAAUUAAUUUUAUUAAUAAUAUAUAUAAUAAAUUGCAUAAUAAAAUCUAUCCUGAUAGAUGUAAUUUAAAUCACGUAAAAUAUCGCUGUAUAAAAAAAAAAUACAAUAUUUAAAUUUUAGGAGUUAAUAUAGUGUAUUUCUGUGUAUAUAUAAUUAAUAUUAUUAAAUAAUUUCUUUUACAACUUUAUUUUUUUUCUAUUUAUUGAUUGUUUUUUUUAAAUUAUUUUGAUAGAUUUAUCUCAAAUGAUUUUCAUAUAAAUAUUUAUAAAAUAAAUUGUUAUAUAAAUUUACUUUACGCAUAUAUCAAUUUUAAUAACUUGUAUUUAAAUAAAUUUUAUCGAUUAAAUUAUUUUUAUAUAACUUUUAGUUAAUUAAUAAUUAAACUUAUAAAACUAUAUAAAAAUAUUAAAAAAAUAAAAUUUAUUAUAAAAAUAUUUUUAUAUCCGCGCGUGUACUUCACUAGUUAAGUCAUAAAGUUUUUGUCUAAUGCGCACACCAUCAGGACACGUGUCAACUAACAUCCACAGAAACGCAGCUCCGCCUCCGCCACACGAGAAGCACUACACAGUACACACUUCCUAUCAACUACAUGCGGACACACGUGUGCGUAUACAUGCGUAUUGAUCUCGUUCCACGCGUCCGCAUAAACAUAAAGCAUGGCCGCAUACUCCGACUCCGAGCGCCUCGCCGAGCUCCGCGCCUUCGACGCGACCAAAGCCGGCGUCAAGGGCCUUGUCGACGCCGGCUUUACCUCCAUCCCCCGCUUCUUCGUCCACCCGGACCUCGACCUCGAGCGAACCCCCGGCGCGAAUUUCCGAGUCCCCGUCGUCGACCUCGGCGGCGUCGCCGCCGACCCCGCGCGGCGCGCGGCGGCCGCGGCGGAGGCGGGGCGCGCGGCGGAGGAGCUGGGGCUGUUCCACGUGGUGAACCACGGGGUGCCCCAGCAGGUGCUCGACGAAAUGCUCCAGAGAGUGAGGGGGUUCCACGAGGACGGGGUGGAGGUGAAGGGUGAGUACUACACCCGGGACCAGAGCAGGAAGGUGGUGUACAAUAGCAAUUUCGACUUGUACCAGGCGCCGGCGGCCAAUUGGCGGGACACGCUUUUCUGCUCGAUGGCGCCGGAACCGCCGCGGCCCGAGGAGUUGCCGCUCGCCUGCAGGUAACGCAGUUCGUGCCCCGCCCGAAAGAUCGAACUAAUAGAAAACGGUGCAGAAAUAGUGCCAUACUUGUCCUUCUUUGAAAGAGAAAAGAUAACAAGUUACCUGUUUCAUCUAUUUUUAAGAAAUAUGAAGCAAUUAGAUUUCAAACCACGAUCCUAUUACUCAUUGAGUUGCAAUCUUUUCUCAAUUUGAACUUUGGAUGGUUGGAUUGCAUGUAUAAGAUGGAAAUUGAUGGUGGGUUGAAAUAAUAAUUGGUGUUUGGAUGCAUCAGAACUCAGUUUUCCUGUGAGCAUUCCCAAAAGUUAGUUUGUCCAACUUAGAAGUUCAAGAUUAGGACCAAAGUAAAAUGUAGAUAACAAAUUCAGAGACUAUUAAAUAAAAUUUAAAUAGAAGUUCGGAGACUAUGGGUGCGAUUUAUCCUUCUAAAAAGUAAGACUUGUCAGGAGAGAAAGAUAGUAAACUACUUACUUCAUUUAAUUUUCUAGAAAUGAAUUGAGCUAGAAAUGUGAAGCCAUUGGACUUCAAACUUAGGUUCUCAAGUACCAAUCUUCAAACCCUUAGCUAACUGUGUUGGGUACGAUCGGUUUGGCAGGAAAAUAUUCAAAUGUAAGAGAUUCUUCUAUGCCACAAACAGAUCGUAGCCCUUAGUUUUAGCCCAUUCAGUGGCCCUAAAAUCCGGCCAUAUAUGCAGUACAACCAUAUCCGAAGAAGGUGGCCUAACACUGAUCGCUUUUAACGUAUGUGACAAAAUGCUUGAUAAUUGAUAAUUUGGUAUUUAAGGUUGUAGGUUUAAUGACUAGUUACUUCACAUUUUCAGCUAAGUUCUCUCUCGCUCUCGAAGAAAAAAAGAACAAAGUGGCCCAUCAAUAUCCAAAAAUACAUGUACAACAAUCACCUACUUCUCACCGGUUGUACAAAAGUAGGGGUAAAGAUGUUUGCGAUAGUAUUGAUCUCUUUAAUAUAUAGUAUUGACACCUCUUCAACUUUUGAUCUUUUGCCGAUUAAGUGAGUUUAUCAACUAGAUUAGGAUUUUAUCAAAUUCAUAAGUGAUUUCAUGAAAUUUAAUGGUUUUGAUCACUUUUUACCAAAUUAAAUAGCUAACAGAGAACUUUUAACUCAAGUCAAAGAAAUUGUUUUUACCAAAAUAUUUUGAUUAUGCGAGGUUGGUGACAUGUACUUAUGUUAAUAAAUAUGUUGGAAUCUAUGCAGGGACAUAACCUUCAAAUACACAAGCUACAUGCAGAAGUUGGGAACCAUCCUGUUAGAGCUGCUCUCUGAGGCACUUGGAUUGAACCCUAAUCACCUAAUAGAAAUGGAGUGCGCCAAUGGAGUCAGUGUUUUGAUGCACUAUUACCCUGCUUGUCCUGAACCUCACCUCACACUCGGCACGAGUAAACAUUCUGAUUCCAGUUUCAUUACCAUUCUUCUGCAAGAUAGUCUCGGCGGUUUACAAGUCCUCCAUCAGAAUCAGUGGCUCAACAUCCCUCCAGUGCCCG
Molecule: long non-coding RNA, 11803 nt
Filed under: Ananas comosus (pineapple)
Lineage: Eukaryota; Viridiplantae; Streptophyta; Magnoliopsida; Poales; Bromeliaceae
Description: long non-coding RNA (ACOM_LNC015618)
Source: RNAcentral